GCGCGUAAAUUGCCCGAAUCCUGACACAGGGAGGUAGUGACAAGAAAUAACAAUACAGGGCUCUUCGAGUCUUGUAAUUGGAAUGAGUACAAUUUACAUCUCUUCACGAGGAUCAAUUGGAGGGCAAGUCUGGUGCCAGCAGCCGCGGUAAUUCCAGCUCCAAUAGCGUAUAUUAAAGUUGUUGCAGUUAAAACGCUCGUAGUCGGAUUUCGGGGCGGUCCCGCCGGUCUGCCGAUGGGUAUGCACUGGCGGGGGCGCCCUUCCUCCCGGAGACGGCUGCUACUCUUAACUGAGCGGUGGCCGGAGACGGGAUAUUUACUUUGAAAAAAUCAGAGUGUUUCAAGCAGGCAGUCGCUCUUGCAUGGAUUAGCAUGGGAUAAUGAAAUAGGACUCUGGUGCUAUUUUGUUGGUUUCGAGCACCGGAGUAAUGAUUAACAGGGACAGUCAGGGGCACUCGUAUUCC
Molecule: ribosomal RNA, 463 nt
Filed under: uncultured eukaryote
Lineage: Eukaryota
Also listed under: 1 other name
Description: SSU rRNA
Rfam family: Eukaryotic small subunit ribosomal RNA
Source: RNAcentral